RNAcentral lists this ribosomal RNA (466 nucleotides) under uncultured bacterium. RNAcentral's name for it is "partial 16S ribosomal RNA". It matches the Rfam family "Bacterial small subunit ribosomal RNA", at positions 28 to 507 of the family's 1533-position model. The record is from RNAcentral.
GACGAACGCUGGCGGCGUGCUUAACACAUGCAAGUCGAACGGAAAGGCCUCUUUCGGGGGGUACUCGAGUGGCGAACGGGUGAGUAACACGUGAGUAACCUGCCCUUGACUUUGGGAUAACUUCAGGAAACUGGGGCUAAUACCGGAUAGGAGCUCCUGCUGCAUGGUGGGGGUUGGAAAGUUUCGGCGGUUGGGGAUAGACUCGCGGCUUAUCAGCUUGUUGGUGGGGUAGUGGCUUACCAAGGCUUUGACGGGUAGCCGGCCUGAGAGGGUGACCGGCCACAUUGGGACUGAGAUACGGCCCAGACUCCUACGGGAGGCAGCAGUGGGGAAUAUUGCACAAUGGGUGGAAGCCUGAUGCAGCAACGCCGUGUGCGGGAUGACGGCCUUCGGGUUGUAAACCGCUUUCGCCUGUGACGAAGCGUGAGUGACGGUAAUGGGUAAAGAAGCACCGGCUAACUACGUG